Molecule: transfer RNA, 76 nt
Filed under: Paludihabitans sp. MB14-C6
Lineage: Bacteria; Bacillati; Bacillota; Clostridia; Eubacteriales; Oscillospiraceae
Description: Paludicola sp. MB14-C6 tRNA-Lys
Rfam family: tRNA
About the family: Transfer RNA (tRNA) molecules are approximately 80 nucleotides in length. Their secondary structure includes four short double-helical elements and three loops (D, anti-codon, and T loops).
Source: RNAcentral
GCACCAAUAGCUCAGCUGGUAGAGCAACUGACUCUUAAUCAGUAGGUCCAGGGUUCGAGCCCCUGUUGGUGUACCA